AUACAGAGGGUGCGAGCGUUAAUCGGAAUUACUGGGCGUAAAGCGCGCGUAGGCGGCUACUUAAGUCAGAUGUGAAAUCCCCGGGCUCAACCUGGGAACUGCAUCUGAUACUGGGUAGCUAGAGUUUAGGAGAGGGAAGUAGAAUUUCAGGUGUAGCGGUGAAAUGCAUAGAGAUCUGAAGGAAUACCAGUGGCGAAGGCGGCUUCCUGGCCUAAAACUGACGCUGAGGUGCGAAAGCGUGGGUAGCAAACAGGAUGAGAAACCCUAGUAGUCC
This 274-nucleotide ribosomal RNA is filed under the name uncultured bacterium. RNAcentral's name for it is "partial 16S ribosomal RNA". It matches the Rfam family "Bacterial small subunit ribosomal RNA", at positions 523 to 796 of the family's 1533-position model. The record is from RNAcentral.